RNAcentral lists this ribosomal RNA (253 nucleotides) under uncultured bacterium. RNAcentral describes it as "partial 16S ribosomal RNA". It matches the Rfam family "Bacterial small subunit ribosomal RNA", at positions 524 to 776 of the family's 1533-position model. The record is from RNAcentral.
UACGGAGGGUGCAAGCGUUAUCCGGAUUCACUGGGUUUAAAGGGUGCGUAGGCGGGUAAGUAAGUCCGUGGUGAAAUCUCUGAGCUUAACUCAGAAACUGCCGUGGAUACUAUUUGCCUUGAAUAUUGUGGAGGUGAGCGGAAUAUGUCAUGUAGCGGUGAAAUGCUUAGAUAUGACAUAGAACACCAAUUGCGAAGGCAGCUCACUACACAAUCAUUGACGCUGAGGCACGAAGGCGUGGGGAUCAAACAGG